CGCAGUAAUUCUGUAUUUAUUUCCUUUUCUUUUCAAUCUAAUUUUAUUGAAGUGUUACAAUCGAUUGGACGAAUUUAGAAAGCAGACAGCACUAUGCAUUUUUACAAGCAACUGCUUCUAAUUGCUAUUACGAUUUUGUUUGCCAUGCAUUUUGCAAAUUCGUGUUGUGGGGCCCGUGGACAAAACCGCAUCAAAUCCCAAUUCCACAGAAUUGGCUUGCCAAAUCGAAAAUCCAUAUUCCGUGUACUAAACAGUACUUCUCCUUAUUAGAAAACAACCUUCAAUCAAACUUUCUUUAACUUAUAAAUUCUACUUUCCUACUUAACUGGUUCUUAUAUGACAGGCGGAAUUUCAAAAGGCUUCAAACAAUGUACAGAAUGUACCAAAGACCACAAUGGCUAUUGAAAUACAGAAGAUUCUAGCUCAAAUUCAGGAUACCAAGAUCCUAAGGAAUAAAGAUCAAGCCCAAGAAUUACUGAAACAAAUGAAGAAAGUGUUCCAUACUACCCCUAGGAAGCCUAAACGUACAUGUCCUUUCGCAAAGUGCAAAACAAAAUCCAUGCAACCGAUGAUUAGUUAUUAACUAAUCAAUAAACGAAAUUAAAAUCUGCAUUAAAUCUGUUUAGUGUC
Long non-coding RNA from Leguminivora glycinivorella, 630 nucleotides. RefSeq lists it as uncharacterized. The record is from RefSeq and is a predicted model, not a curated record. The transcript has 2 exons. Lineage: Eukaryota; Metazoa; Arthropoda; Insecta; Lepidoptera; Tortricidae.